GGCGCUCUGCGCAAGCGGAAGCCUAAGUAGCAGAAGCACAUUGUCAUCGCCGUAAUUUAUUUGGCAGUAUUUAAGGUGCAUUCCACGUCCGCGGCAAGUAUACACGAGUGGGAAAUUGUAAAUUCGAGAGCGGUUCCACACCAAAGGGCGUGAACUUCUUGUCCGCAAUAUUGGAAGGCAAAUAAAUAUCAACCACCGCAAACGUGGAAAUCGUUAAAAGCGUCAGAGGCGCUGACCAAGAAGACAACUGCCGCGACAUUCGCCAUUCUCAUGGAAAGCUGACUAACUGCCACACCGAAUGUUUUGCCCGUUCGUGCGAGCUGCCAGUGAAUUCGGUGCGGUGGUUGUUUGUUUGACGGACAACCUGAAUAUUUUGCCGUUUCGCUGGCCAUUUGGCCCAAAGCCAAAACAAACGCGCGUCUAACGUAGAAGCAAAAAGAAGCGAGAGCAAAAACGACAAAAAUAAAUAAGAAAAUAGUCGCUAAAAGUAGAAGUCCGCUGCUGAAAACGCUUACGGCUUACAGCUAGGAAAAUACCACGAAAUCAUCCGUUGAAAGAAAAGUCUCCACAAAGGCGGAAAAAUUAUAGCAAACUCUGCUUGUGUGGAAUAAAAUGAGAACAUAAUUGAGAGUGAGAGCAUAAUGCCGGAAAUCUGCUGAGCGGCAGCUGCUGUUUGGUUGCGCUAAAUCCACAUACACACACAAACAUAGACAUACUUCGAGCCAGCUGUUAAAGGGAAUAUACGGUAGCAGUUGCGGGUCAAAAAGACGAAUCAGCUUAGCAAAACAAACAUACCGAUAAUGUUAAGUCAUUUGUUCAAAGUGUUAUUAUUGAAAUACCACAACAGCUGCCCAUUCGGACAAUAGUAGCUUAACAGCUGUUCGCUCGUGCCUUAAUUUUUUAAGUGCUCUACGUCGGUUAAUUAUGCAACAGACAACGUAGGUGUAGCUGAUUCUUUCAGACACCGCUCAGGCGAUAUAAUCAUGAUGCAUUUUCAUAUCAGCAAGGAUCAAACCAGAGAAAGGCGGAAAAGAAAGAGGACAUACCCUCUGAGAAAUGAUUUUUUUUAAUAAAAACGAUGUGACAAAAAAUAUUUAAAACAAGAAAUGUUUUAUAUGUAUGCCUGAAUGAAAAUUGCAACAAGUUCGAGGAACUUAUUAUAGUUGGA
Molecule: long non-coding RNA, 1168 nt
Organism: Bactrocera neohumeralis
Lineage: Eukaryota; Metazoa; Arthropoda; Insecta; Diptera; Tephritidae
Exons: 5
Source: RefSeq, a predicted model, not a curated record